GAUGAACGCUGGCGGCGUGCAUAACACAUUCAAGUCGAACGAAGCGUAUUCUGGAAACCUUCGGGCGGAAAGGAUACGACUUAGUGGCGGACGGGUGAGUAACGCGUGAGCAACCUGCCUACGAUAGAGGGAUAACGCAUGGAAACGUGCGCUAAUACCGCAUGAGGCGACAUCUUCGCAUGGAGAAGUCGUUAAAGAGAAAUCGAUCGUAGAUGGGCUCGCGUAUGAUUAGGUAGUUGGUAAGGUAACGGCUUACCAAGCCUGCGAUCAUUAGCCGAACUGAGAGGUUGAACGGCCACAUUGGAACUGAGAAACGGUCCAG
Molecule: ribosomal RNA, 322 nt
Filed under: uncultured bacterium
Lineage: Bacteria
Description: bacterial SSU rRNA
Rfam family: Bacterial small subunit ribosomal RNA
Source: RNAcentral